GCCGCAAAUUAAAGAAAAAAAAAGAUGUUUCCUUUUAUUUCUAUUGGUUAUUUUUUAUCUUCAUCUGGUUUACCUCAGACAACAUCAGCUGUGCUAAAAUUAUAUUAUAUUCAUUAAAAGCAAAAACAAGGAAGCAAAGUUCUUAUAAUCUUGUUGCUGUGGAUUAAUUUAAUUCAUCUGUACCAAUUUUUCGUUGAUUGAGGAAAACUAUUGUUUUCAUGGAUUAUAGAUUUCAUGGUUAUGUC
RNAcentral lists this long non-coding RNA (245 nucleotides) under Mytilus galloprovincialis (Mediterranean mussel). Lineage: Eukaryota; Metazoa; Mollusca; Bivalvia; Mytilida; Mytilidae. The record is from RNAcentral.